UACGUAGGUGGCAAGCGUUAUCCGGAAUUAUUGGGCGUAAAGAGCGCGCAGGUGGUUAAUUAAGUCUGAUGUGAAAGCCCACGGCCUAACCGUGGAGGGUCAUUGGAAACUGGUUGACUUGAGUGCAGAAGAGGGAAGUGGAAUUCCAUGUGUAGCGGUGAAAUGCGUAGAGAUAUGGAGGAACACCAGUGGCGAAGGCGGCUUACUGGUCUGCAACUGACACUGAGGCGCGAAAGCGUGGGGAGCAAACAGG
RNAcentral lists this ribosomal RNA (253 nucleotides) under uncultured bacterium. RNAcentral describes it as "partial 16S ribosomal RNA". It matches the Rfam family "Bacterial small subunit ribosomal RNA", at positions 524 to 776 of the family's 1533-position model. The record is from RNAcentral.